UACAGAGGGGGCAAGCGUUGUUCGGAAUUACUGGGCGUAAAGGGCGCGUAGGCGGCCUGUGCAAGUCAGUUGUGAAAUCUCCGGGCUUAACUCGGAACGGUCAACUGAUACUGCUCGGCUAGAGUGCGGAAGGGGCAACUGGAAUUCUUGGUGUAGCGGUGAAAUGCGUAGAUAUCAAGAGGAACACCUGCGGCGAAGGCGGGUUGCUGGGCCGACACUGACGCUGAAGUGCGAAAGCUAGGGGAGCGAACGGG
Molecule: ribosomal RNA, 254 nt
Filed under: uncultured bacterium
Lineage: Bacteria
Description: partial 16S ribosomal RNA
Rfam family: Bacterial small subunit ribosomal RNA
Source: RNAcentral